RNAcentral lists this ribosomal RNA (407 nucleotides) under uncultured bacterium. RNAcentral describes it as "partial 16S ribosomal RNA". It matches the Rfam family "Bacterial small subunit ribosomal RNA", at positions 28 to 526 of the family's 1533-position model. The record is from RNAcentral.
GACGAACGCUGGCGGGGUGCCUAAUACAUGCAAGUAGGGCGGAGUUGCGAACGGGUGAGUAACGCGUAGGUAACUACCUAUUAGAGGGGGAUAACUAUUGGAAACGAUAGCUAAUACCGCAUACUAGUAGAUGGACCUGCGUUGUAUUAGCUAGUAGGUAGGGUAAUGGCCUACCUAGGCAACGAUACAUAGCCGACAUGAGAGGGUGAUCGGCCAAAAGGGGACUGAGACACGGCCCAGACUGCUACGGGAGGCAGCAGUAGGGAAGCUUCGGAAAUGGGGGGAACCCUGACCGAGCAACGCCGCGUGAGUGAAGAAGGUUUUCGGAGCGUAAAGCUCUGUUGUUAAGGAAGCGGUAGUUAACCAGAACGGCACGGCUAACUACGUGCCAGCAGCCGCGGUAAUUC